Molecule: long non-coding RNA, 1300 nt
Organism: Anthonomus grandis grandis
Lineage: Eukaryota; Metazoa; Arthropoda; Insecta; Coleoptera; Curculionidae
Exons: 4
Source: RefSeq, a predicted model, not a curated record
UUAUCGACAAAAUGCCAAAGCAGUGAAAUAGUCGGUGUCAGGAGUUAGUUGCGUCGUUGUUGCAGUAUUUUGAGAAAGAACGGGAUAAUAAGAGCCCAUUGCUUUCACUGAACGCUGUUAGAGAAGUAAGUUAUUAUUUAUAAAUAUUUAGACAAAAAUAUACAAACAUUUUAUUUAUUUCAUGCAGCGUGUUGCAGCAGCAGUUAAGUGUAAAUAUUGCAACAGUUAGUAUAAUCUCUUGUAAAAUAAAAAACAAUAUCCCUUUAAGUUCGCCUAGUAAACAAAAGUCAAGCAAAAGGGUUGCAGACUGUACAAUUUUAGAUACUGCUGCUAUCCGUAACACUAUUUAUACAAAAAAAACGUGUAACUUUAAGUUCUUUAUGGCAAGAACUUAAAGAAAAACACAAAUUUGAUGGUUGUUGCAUAUCAUUAUGCUAAGUUCUAAAAAUUGGCUUUAAAUGGAAAAAAAGAUGAUCCUAGAAGGGGGCUUUUAGAACUGCCUAGUUUAACUGCUUUUAAACGUGUCGACUUUUUAAACUCGUAUAUAAAAGAAAAAUAAAAGGGCCUAUAUAAAUUUGUCUUCCUAGACGAAAAUUUCCAAAAUGAAACAUAGGGCGUUCAUGGCAGGAUGAAAAUAAAAAGAGCGUGAGAAGGAUUAAAGGUUAUGGGAAAAGACAUAACGUACUACAUGCGGGAAAUGAAGAUAAAUUUAUUGAAAACGCCGAUCUUGUUUUUCCUCAGAUUCAAACAAGCGACUACCAUGGUGAAAUGAAUCCAGAAAAUUUUUUGUUUAGGUUUAAAAACCAAUUGUUAAAAAAUUUAACUGGCCCAUCAUUAAUAAUUGUGGACAAUGCUCCUUACCACAGCAUCCUCUUAACAAAAACACCAAACAGUUUUUGAAAACUUGACAAAAACAACUAUUCAGGAGUGGCUAAUUAACGAGAAUAUAGAGUUUUCGAACAAUAUGUUUAAAAGUGAACUUUUAAGAAUUAUUGUUGCAAGAUGAUCUGGCCGAGCAUAACUUUAUUACCAAAAUAAAGUUCUUCGCCUGCCACUAUAUCACUGUAUGGUUAACCCAAUCGAACAUAUAUGGCGCAUAUCAAAAUCCUUUUACAAUAAGCACAUUGGCAGGGAUGGCAAUUCACACCAAGACUGCUUAAAUAUGUGGCAUGAAGCACUACAAACCAUAACACCUGAUAUAUGGAAAAAUACAAACAAUCACACAUACGGAAAAGGCAAUUUUAAAAUGGUACGAGAGGGAGCAAAUAAUGGAUCGACAAGAUGUUCUUCCUUUUAUAAU